RNAcentral lists this ribosomal RNA (468 nucleotides) under uncultured bacterium. Its description in RNAcentral is "partial 16S ribosomal RNA". It matches the Rfam family "Bacterial small subunit ribosomal RNA", at positions 28 to 507 of the family's 1533-position model. The record is from RNAcentral.
GACGAACGCUGGCGGCGUGCUUAACACAUGCAAGUCGAACGGAAAGGCCCUGCUUUUGUUGGGUGCUCGAGUGGCGAACGGGUGAGUAACACGUGAGUAACCUGCCCUUGACUUUGGGAUAACUUCAGGAAACUGGGGCUAAUACCGGAUAGGAGCUCCUGCUGCAUGGGGGGGGUUGGAAAGUUUCGGCGGUUGGGGAUGGACUCGCGGCUUAUCAGCUUGUUGGUUGGGUAGUGGCUUACCAAGGGUUUAACGGGUAGCCGGCCUGGGAAGUGGGCCGGCGACCAUGCGCCUGCGAGACGGCGCAGAGGGCUACGGUGGGCAACAGGGGGAAACAUGACCCAACGGGCGGGCGUCUGAGGUGGCAACCUCGCGGGUGGGAAGAAGGCUUUCCGGGAAUAAAACGCCGCGGCCUAAUACGAAGUGGGAGUGACGGUAAUUGGUAAAGAAGCACCGGCUAACUACGUG